Molecule: ribosomal RNA, 406 nt
Filed under: uncultured bacterium
Lineage: Bacteria
Description: bacterial SSU rRNA
Rfam family: Bacterial small subunit ribosomal RNA
Source: RNAcentral
CAGCAGCCGCGGUAAUACGGAGGGUGCAAGCGUUAUCCGGAUUUACUGGGUUUAAAGGGUGUGUAGGCGGACUUUUAAGUCAGCGGUGAAAUCUCCGGGCUCAACCCGGAAACUGCCAUUGAUACUAUUGGUCUUGAAUAUUGUUGAGGUGGGCGGAACGGGUCAUGUAGCGGUGAAAUGCAUAGAUAUGACCCGGAACACCGAUUGCGAAGGCAGCCCACUAAGCAAUGAUUGACGCUGAGGCACGAAAGCGUGGGGAUCAAACAGGAUUAGAUACCCUGGUAGUCCACGCCCUAAACGAUGAUUACUCGACGUUGGCGAUACACCGAUCAGCGUCCAAGCGAAAGCAUUAAGUAAUCCACCUGGGAAGUACGUUCGCAAGAAUGAAACUCAAAGGAAUUGACGG